CACAUGGGGAGACCACAUGGAGAACUAACUUGCCUCUGUCAAUCCCAUAUGAUCUCCCUGCCAAGUGCCAGCAUCAAAUGCCAACCAUGAUUGUUUUAAGUCCUCAUUGGGCAUUUUAAGUUCUGUUUGAAAGAGCUGCAUCACAAUUCUUAUAAAGGACUUGUUGAAUCAUAAGCUGUUUCCUUAAGCACCAGUUAUGUGGGGGACCUUGUGCCAGGCACUGGGCCACAUAAAUGAGAAUCACAAGGACCAGGAUUAAGAAAAGACAGGCUCCAGUGUGACUCAGCACAGUGUUCACAGCCCAUGCUCUCAAGAAUCUCAGCUUAGGAGGAGGCAAAGAGCCGCUCUACAGUAAGGUAAAUAAGUCAUUUAGUCAGGAACUCUGCACAUUUACCUCUGCAUUUAUCAAAUAUUUGUUGAAGGAAAUAAUAAAAGAAGUGAGGAGGAAGAAGAGGUUUCCUGGGUUUUUUUAAUGUGUGAGAUUGGAAGAAAUCUUGUGAGUAAUCAUGAAUUUUAGGAAUCCCAGAAGGGAGCAAAGAAGAUUCUGAAAAAAAGAGAAAUACUUCUCUGAGUUGGAAAUUGGUUAAAUUUAGUGAUGUUUGAGCCUCAGCUUACAUUGGAAAUCACUAACUACUUUUAAAUUACUUUUGGUUUUGGACCCUGUUUCUUGCUCUGGGACUACACAAAAGGACUGAGCCAAGACAGGAGCAGGAAUUUGGCUUGCCAUUUAUUUAAUUUAUAUUUUAUUGUCUGCUAAAAAUUGAAUGCGUUUCAGAGCAAGAUAGAAGAGGAGUACAUCUCAAAUGCUUUUGAAGUUACAUUUCCAAAGUGAGGUCCCAGCUGGAAGUAUAAAUGGUUCUCCAAUUUUGCAGAUGGAAUUUUAUCCAAUAUUCAGAUGUAUAAUCUGCUUCAAGUAUGUACACAGGGGAAGUAAUAAGAGUACUGUGAAUUCUCAACUGACCAUUUUCUGACACAUUAAAGAAAUAGCAAAGCACUUAUCUCUGAAGUCUCACUUUUUAAAUAUGUUACAAUGAAUUGUGAUCCUGUUUUAUGUAUCUGACUGACAGCACUGGGAAUUAAGUUCCUCAGCCAAUGAAAUAAUAAACCCAAUGCCACGAUAAAACCUACGGUAGAGACUGAUAAGGACUCCAGAUCCAGGCUGCUAAUACUCUUCAAAGUCAUUCAGCUGUGGCUACUACAUGAUGUCUGAGUGUUUCCACAAGGCACUGUUUUGGACAUUGGGAACAUCGAAGUAGAGUGAGCAUCAUCAUGAAUGGAAACACUUUCUCUGAAAAAAGACAUAAAACAAUUGAAAGUCAGCAGUGUCUUUCUUGCAAAAUAUUAUGAAGAUCAGGACAAUUAGAAUUAGGUAUACUCCAAUUCCAUUUUAGAAUUUGCAAUAGAGAAGGUGCUUUGGGAAUGGAAUUAAAUGAGCUGAUUCAUGUAAAGGGAUUUAACUGGGUGCCGGACCUGUCAUAAACUCUUAACGUGAACAGGAGAGUUACUGUAAAAACUGAGACAACAAAACAGCCGGAGGCAUGAAAAGAAAAAGAAUCCCGCAUGAAUAGCUUGCUAUAUGUAAUUUGGUUAGGAACAAUUCACAGGUUUUGACAGCUUUAUUAGAGUUCCAUUUUAGUAAGAUUCAGGUGAAAGUGAGGUCAUCACUUUAAAACAAAAAUCCUGAGAACAUACCCAGAUGGACUCACAUAAAUGAUGUAUACUAAUGUCGUCAAGUAAAUAUUUUAAAGAGUUAAUUGCUUUCUUUAUUAAAAACUGGAUUUAAAUACUCCAUUAUUUCAUAAGAAUAAAACAACUACAACACCGCCACAACAUAAAAAGUGUUUACCUUAAUGUAUUAUGAACACCAGCAGUGAGUUCCAGUAAUAUCUUGCACUUCUGAAGAUGUGUAAGUAUACUAAGGAACAUGCUUAACUUAGAACUCACUAAUGGAAGUUACAGAGAUUUAUUCAGAUCCAUGUUAGCAUGCUUGAUACCCUUAAGCACACUAACAAUAUACAGCAUCUGCUUUCAGGGAUGUUUUUACCUCUUGUACUAGUUUCAGAAAGCCCAUGUCUGAAUAAUUCCUAAGUAAUGGUUUUUUAGCUUACUCUAUAAUUUUGAUUUUGAGCCUGACUAAAUAAAACCUUUUUAAAUAGACAGUGGUUUUAUUAUUAUUCUUAUUUUACUGAUGCAAACAAUCAAGGUAUGUGCAGUAAGAUGUCUUACCAAAUGUCACCCAUUUAGUAUGAGGCUAAGCUGGAUUUCAAAUGCUAAAUUUAUUCCUCUUACCAUCUUCUGCCUCCCAUAAUGAAGACUAAUUAUCUUUGUGUUGCAAAUGUAGAUUUAUAAGUGCCAAUUAAUAGAAAUUAAAUCCUGGUCAAAAUCCCACUAGAGAAUAGACUUUCCUGCGUUUAUCAAUUCAGCUUCAUUCUCUCUCACUAAAGACUGACUGGUUUAAAGGUUAAAGCCCGUCAGCCCCUGAAACUAAGUGAUAACCAAUCCGUAGAUCAGUGUCAGCUUUAUUAUUAUUCUUCACCAGACACCCCUAAUCAUUUUCUGUGUCUGACAUUUGAAUCCCUGCACAAAAACAAUUUGCACAACUUUAAUCCCCCCUCCCAUUUAAUCCAUCACAUACUGUGACACCUGAUAGUCCCACUGUGAGCAGCCUGUGAAAUAUGUCAGCUUUAUCUCUGAUUUACACUGGAUUCUGCUAACAAUAAAUGCCAUUGCUGAAUGUAUUCUAACCUCUCUAGACUUGCAAGAUUGAAGUAAGUGUCAUUUUCUUUUCGUAAUCAGUGCCUUUUUCUUAGAUGAACACAGAGAACAGUGAGUAUGGAAGUAUCCAACAGUUCAGAGAUGAUUUUAACAAUUUAUGCUACCAAAAUCUGUAGUUUGAUGAGUACAUAAGAGGUAUGAUAAAAUAUUGUUUUCCUGUUUCAACCACAUGUUGGUCUUACCUAGGCUUCAUCUAUAUCCUUUUGUUAUUGGCUUUCUUUGGAAAAUUAGUAUCAACUUUAAACUUUUUGCUACAAUAAUUCACAAAAGAUCCUAUAGGUAGAUGUUAUUUCAGGAACAUAAAUAUCCUGUUGAAGCUAAAAGUGGUGGUAAUAUCUGAAGACUGAUAGCAUUAGGAUAAUAUAGAGUAGUGGUAGGCUUGGGAGAAAGACUUAUAUGGGGA
RNAcentral lists this long non-coding RNA (3178 nucleotides) under Homo sapiens (human). RNAcentral's name for it is "HSALNT0362371". The record is from RNAcentral. Lineage: Eukaryota; Metazoa; Chordata; Mammalia; Primates; Hominidae.